CCGAGUUUACAACUCCCAAACCCCUGUGAACUUACCCCAAGUUGCUUCGGCGGACACGCCCCGGCGCCCUCGUGCCCGGACCCAGGCGCCCGCCGGAGGACCCCAAACCAUCGUGUAUCACACCUGAAUCUUCUGAGUGGCACAAGCAAAUAAAUCA
This 157-nucleotide unclassified non-coding RNA is filed under the name uncultured Hypocreales. RNAcentral describes it as "sequence contains ITS1". Lineage: Eukaryota; Fungi; Ascomycota; Sordariomycetes; Hypocreales. The record is from RNAcentral.